This 32-nucleotide ribosomal RNA is filed under the name Veronica urticifolia. Its description in RNAcentral is "partial 26S ribosomal RNA". Lineage: Eukaryota; Viridiplantae; Streptophyta; Magnoliopsida; Lamiales; Plantaginaceae. The record is from RNAcentral. RNAcentral also lists the same sequence under 1 other name.
CGACCGCGACCCCAGGUCAGGCGGGACUACCC